UACAUUGUUGCGGAAGAGACUGAUUAAAUUCAGCGCCGAAGGAGCAACCGCCCUCGGAAACUCUCAGGCAAAAGGACCGCUUCAAUUAA
The sequence is a regulatory RNA element, 89 nucleotides long. It matches the Rfam family "Glycine riboswitch aptamer". Rfam says of the family: This family represents the bacterial glycine riboswitch. Glycine riboswitches usually consist of two metabolite-binding aptamers domains with similar structures in tandem. The aptamers cooperatively bind glycine to regulate the expression of downstream genes. The record is from Rfam.